UUCUGUAUCCAUGCUUCUCUCAUUCAUUCUUUGGAUAUAUUUAGUCUUUUUUUUUUUAUUAUUAUUAUUAUAUGUAUUUGUUCCCAAAUAGUCGUCUUUGGUUGUGUACAAGCUGCUGCCGAAGUUUUUUUGUGUUUCCUCUAGUGUUGAAGUUGUGUGUUUCAGUAUCCACAACCUGAGUAUUACUCUGUCAUAGGGUACAAUAUUCUGAAAUAUCUCUUUGCCCUUCCCAAGAUGAGAAAUUUUGUACAAUUUGGUUACGUCACGUGAUGUUUGCUUUGAUGAUUUGUUAGUUGGUGACAAAAUAACUUUGUUUGGAAAGGUUUUCUAUAAUUUUCUUUUGUUGCUUUUAUGUUGAUUUGUGAUUUAUGAUUAAUGUGAUGAUACUCCUAAGAAGAUAUCCUCUACAUUACAGUGGCCUUAGGACAAGGCUUUGGCGGCAAGGUACACAAUUCAAUCACUUUUCACUUCACUCCUUCUUGAUCACAUAAUGACUUGAGCGUUGGAGUGCUAACAUGUUUUGCAGGUACCUUCCCCACCGUGAUCCACCGUACCAGAAAUCUAAUGCCACCGUAACUGCCUUAAGCCUCACCAUUGGAGUUAUCUCAUUCUGAUCCGGUCAGAACCUUUGUCAUUUCAUAUUGGACGGAGUUUGUUCCAAUGAAUCAUCUCCAACUGGCUUUAAUUUGGUCAUCUUCUUAGACUCUUCACAUUUUCAUUCUUUUGUUGGAUACUCAGCAUCUACUUUGUCAGUUCCUUUGUCUUUUAUGUGUGGGUGUUACAGGAGAGAGAUAACCUAUAAAUCGGUGGUUUGCUGUAGAACCCGUGGCAGGAAGGUUCACAUAUUUACAGUGAAACCGGACAUUUUUUAGAAAUUCUGGACAACUUGGUUUGGAACUUUUAUGUUCAUUUGCCACUUCCUUUGUUAAAAUCAUUUUUCUAUAUUCUUGUAUUCUUGUCAUUUGUGGUAUAUAAAAUAAUCUCAAACAGGUAUCCCUCACAGAAUUUGCAAUUGAAGAACGAACUUGGUAUAGGGAAUGGAACACCGGAAUCUACUCUGACUGAAUUCUUAAUGUUUUUUUGUUUGUUUUGUGGAUCUAGUUUUUUUAUUCCUUUGUCAGUUUGGCAUAGAUUAUCUAUCAAGGGCAUGCUUUUGCUUUGGUGUAACAGGUGGGAGAGGCCAUGAUUGUGUACCGUGGGAUUUGAAAGUUGUCGCGGACUUUAUUAAGGAAAUGCUUUGAGCCUUUGGAUUUAAUUCUGGAAUAAGUGUCCUAUGAUAGUGUCAAUUUUUAAGUUCAGAAUUACGAAUCUAAAUAUUAGGGAGAGCUUCAGCAUUUCAUAUCCAUAUGUUUCUUGAAUAAUCUUAAGCUAUACAAUCUGUUUUGCAGUGAAUUGAAGUUUGAUAACAAGAACGUUUGUAGAUACUUGAUACAAAGGAUAAGAAAGGAGAUUCAAGAUAAAUCAUGUUUCUUCAAUGAGUCAUCGUUUACUAUUUUUAUUUUCGAGCUUUGUUUAUAAGACAUACGAAUUAAAUUGCGAAUAUACUAUUCUGCAGAAUGGUUCGACAAAAUAAUGCUGUUCUUCGUAGCGUAGAGCCUCAAAUUUUGAUUUGGAGAUCUUCAGUAAACUCUUUUCGUUUCAGUGUUUCGAUAUUAAUUUUGAGAGCAUAUAUUUCUUUAUUUAGUAUUUUUUUUAUUUGGAUUUUCAGGAGAGGAUAUCUAUAUAUGAAUGAAGACACAAUUCCUUCUGGUUCUUGUUUAUUAUUUUUUCUAUGGUACUCUGGUCUUUUGAUGUUGAGGUUUGAUUUGGUUAUUGCUGGUUUCGAUCGUGGGGAUUAUUUUUCUUAUAUAUUUUGCAGCGAGCUGAGCUGACCUCUGGAUAUAUGUAACAAUUUGCAAUUAUAAUGGUUAAGGACGAUAAUGGCUACAUAUACAUAAUCAAAUUUCUAGGAUGUGUAAUUCUUAAUUAUUUUUAUUUUUGGGCUUUGAUUGCAAGACAUACAAAUUGAAUUUUUAACUUGUUUUUCUGCAGCGUGGUUUAUCGAAAUCAAAAUAAUAACGAUCUUUCAUCAUAGCAUGAAUUCCCACAAGUUUUGAUUUGCUUAUCUUAUUUAAAAUAUUACUGUAUAGUUUUGUUGCAGGAAGGUCAUUUGGGAACACUUAUUCCUUCUGGAUCUGGUUCUAUCUUUCUUUUGUUUGAUCUUCAUGUUUUGCAUUCUUACAUGUGAAUUUAAAUAUGAUGCUGUUUUCUGCAGUUUAGUGUUUUUUUAAAAAAUAGCAUUCUGUGUAGUAUCAACUAUCAAGCCUCGGAUUGUGAAUUAUUUUCAUUUCUAUUCUUAUUGUCUAGUUGAUUUACUUCUUUGUUCUACAUUUGGCUUUUUUAUCUGAAUUCUGACAGUGCAGAAGUUUACACGAGGAAGUUGGUGGGCAUCUCAUUGUAAUGCUGAUAUGCGACUUGGUUUGAAGAAUUAUGCUACUAUUCUUUCUUCUUUGUUCUUUUUCUUACAACCUAUUUUUCCUAGCGUAAUUUUUUCUGUUAAUGCAUCAUGUGCUGUUGGCAGAGCAAGUUUUACAUGGGUUUGGUGUACCACAGAAGUUUCCUUCUUUCUCAAUCACACUGCACCUUUUUAAUUCACCAUCUGAAGUGGAGAAUAUUGGAGAUGAGUUUCGUUGCCGCUUUGUACACCUUCUGUGAACAAAUUUACAAGGACACAUGAACCAUAAUGUUCUGAUGGACGUGUUAUCUAUUUACUAGGGUGAUCUCUACUCUGAUUAUGAAUUCUUUAUAUUUCGGAAUAAUCGUUUCAGCAUCUAUGCUUCUUGAUUCCUUUGUCAAAUCUUAGGGUUAGGUUAUCACAUACUCCCCCUUUUAUCUUUGAGUGAUACGUAUUUCUUCCAGUGUAGAAGUUUUUGUGUUUUUCUGUAUCUGUAACUUCAGUUUUACUCUCUGGGUACAAGCUUUUGGAGUAAAGCUUCCCUUCCCAAGAUGAAUUUUGGACAACUUGGUAGGCCCUUCAGUUGGGGGGUUUCCUUACCCUAAAUACUAUACUUUCUUACAUAUGCUUGUCCUAGAUUUGUUAUUUGUUUGUAUCAUUCCUGAGAAUCUGUGUAUGUUUAUGUUUUAGUUUUGUGCAGUGUCCCAAGGACUCAUCUGUAUAAUGAGGAUGCCUAAAUUGUGUCAUUUCAUAUUGAUUACAAGUUCUUGCAAAUUGGAAGGAAAAUUGUUCCAUUGAAACAUUUGGUGUGUUGAAUACUCGGCAUCUACUUUUUGCAUUUCCUUUGAGUUUUCUGUGUGGUUAUUAGAUGGCUUAUGAAUGUGUGAUAUGUUGUGUCCUGCCAGUCUUGGUGGUUUUGCGUUUCUGCAUCAAGAAUGUGAGAACCGAAGCGUACAAGAUUCUCUAUAAUAUAUCUUUUCUAUGAUUACUUAAGCGUAUAUCUCUUCUCUGGAUACUUAAGCUGCUUUGGCGCUUUACUUCAUCCAUCAAAUUUUCACUCAGCUUUUUUGAUUGGUGUCUUAGGAUAAAGCGCUAUCCAUAUGUUUCAAAUAUUAUAAAAGACCCGAUCAGGAUUUCUGGGACAUGAGUUUUGUAAUACUCAUUAACAAUCAUUGGCUCUAGUUAAAUCUGGUUUGUUCAUUGAAUUGUUUGGCAUUCAUUUUUUAGGCUUUGAUCUCGCGUGUAAGGUAUCAUGAACCUCUUUUAUGCAUAUUAGUUUGUUCAAAGAAUAAAGUUAUAUGUAAUAUCAAGCCUGUGUAGAACUUCAUAGGGAGACU
Molecule: long non-coding RNA, 3771 nt
Filed under: Trifolium pratense (red clover)
Lineage: Eukaryota; Viridiplantae; Streptophyta; Magnoliopsida; Fabales; Fabaceae
Description: long non-coding RNA (TPRA_LNC000382)
Source: RNAcentral